CUGAUAUGUCGAGUCCUCAUACAUGCGGCAUAUGACAGUCCAAUCCUUGAUAUUGAUACUGUCAUAUGGCUACUGCUGCGCUACCUCCAUCCUCUAAUCCUGUACUAUAGCAGACUAGUGGUGAUGAAUACGAUGUCGAUAAUCCUUAAAAUGCAAGCAUAGAUGAUCAUUCACAGCUCGUCGGACAUAAUUGUGCUCAAAAUCAGCAAUAUCAAAUAUAGCCCGCCAAUAACAAAUAUUAUAAUAAUAUAGUGCUAAUUAAAUAUUUUACUAAAUAUUAUUUUACCUAUAAGUGGCUAUAGAAGAUCUUCCUCUAAGCCGAUGUAACGUGACGCU
Molecule: long non-coding RNA, 336 nt
Filed under: Elaeis guineensis (African oil palm)
Lineage: Eukaryota; Viridiplantae; Streptophyta; Magnoliopsida; Arecales; Arecaceae
Description: long non-coding RNA (EGUI_LNC010506)
Source: RNAcentral